AUUAGAUACCCUGGGUAGUCCACGCCGUAAACGAUGAUCACCAGGUGUCGGUGGGUAUGGACCCACCGGUGCCGCAGCAAACGCAGUAAGUGAUCCACCUGGGGAGUACGUUCGCAAGAAUGAAACUCAAAGGAAUUGACGGGGACCCGCACAAGCGGUGGAGCAUGUGGUUUAAUCCGAAGCAACGCGAAGAACCUUACCAAGUCUUGACAUCUGGAUGACAGGGACUUAACCGUCCCCUUACUUCGGUACAUCCAAGACAGGUGGUGCAUGGUUGUCGUCAGCUCGUGUCGUGAGAUGUUGGGUUAAGUCCCGCAACGAGCGCAACCCUUAUCUUCAGUAGCCAGCGAGUAAGGUCGGGCACUCUGGAGAGACUGCCGGGGAUAACCCGGAGGAAGGUGGGGAUGACGUCAAAUCAUCAUGCCCCUUAUGAUUUGGGCUACACACGUGCUACAAUGGCGUAAACAGAGGGAAGCGAGCCCGCGAGGGGGAGCAAAUCCCAAAAAUAACGUCCCAGUUCGGAUCGUAGUCUGCAACCCGACUACAUGAAGCUGGAAUCGCUAGUAAUCGCGGAUCAGAAUGCCGCGGUGAAUACGUUCCCGGGUCUUGUACACACCGCCCGUCACACCAUGGGAGUCGGAAAUGCCCGAAGUCUGUGACCCAACCCCUGGUGAGCAUGACCGUAUAGAGAGAUAACAGAGCUUACGAAGGAAGGUCUGUUAUACU
Molecule: ribosomal RNA, 726 nt
Filed under: uncultured bacterium
Lineage: Bacteria
Description: bacterial SSU rRNA
Rfam family: Bacterial small subunit ribosomal RNA
Source: RNAcentral